RNAcentral lists this ribosomal RNA (421 nucleotides) under uncultured archaeon. Its description in RNAcentral is "partial 16S ribosomal RNA". It matches the Rfam family "Archaeal small subunit ribosomal RNA", at positions 323 to 746 of the family's 1478-position model. The record is from RNAcentral.
CUACGGGGGGCUGCAGUUAGGAAUAAUCUACAAUGCGCGCAAGCGUGAUAGUUUGAGCCAGAGUGCUUAUCUUUCGAUAAGCUUUUGUGAAAUGUAAAAAGUUUCACGAAUAAGGACUGGGUAAGACUAGUGCCAGCCGCCGCGGUAAUACUAGCGGUCCAAGUCGCAGCCAUUUUUAUUGGGUCUAAAACAUCCGUAGCUUGUUUAGUAAGUCUCUUGUGAAAUCUUAUGUCUUAAACAUGGGGCGUGCAAGAGAUACUGCUAAACUAGAGACUGGAAGACGUAAGAAGUAUGUUCAGAGUAACGGUAAAAUGUGUUGAUCCUGGGCAGACUAACAAUAGCGAAGGCAUCUUACGAGGACAGUUCUGACAGUAAGGGAUGAAGGCUAGGGGCGCAAAGGGGAUUAGAUACCCCAGUAGUC